RNAcentral lists this microRNA precursor (181 nucleotides) under Manihot esculenta (cassava). Its description in RNAcentral is "precursor microRNA miR159c". It matches the Rfam family "MIR159 microRNA precursor family", at positions 13 to 186 of the family's 196-position model. Lineage: Eukaryota; Viridiplantae; Streptophyta; Magnoliopsida; Malpighiales; Euphorbiaceae. The record is from RNAcentral.
AUGGGAGCUCUCUUGCUCCAUCACUGAAAGGAAGAGGAGGAUGUGGCACGGCUGCUGGCUCAUGGAUACCCAUUGGCUGCGCAGGGACUCGUGGAUUAAUUGCGCAGACUAAGGGUUUGCAUGCGCCAGGAGACGUGGUUGCCUUUCAUCUUUUUUGUAUUGGGGUGAAGGGAGCUCCUAU